GUGGGUAAUCUUGCGCAAUGGGCGAAAGCCUGAUCCAGCCAUACCGCGUGGGUGAAGAAGGCCUUCGGGUUGUAAAGCCCUUUUGUUGGGAAAGAAAUCCUGUCGAUUAAUACUCGGUGGGGAUGACGGUACCCAAAGAAUAAGCACCGGCUAACUUCGUGCCAGCAGUCGCGGUAAUACGAAGGGUGCAAGCGUUACUCGGAAUUACUGGGCGUAAAGCGUGCGUAGGUGGUGGUUUAAGUCUGCUGUGAAAGCCCUGGGCUCAACCUGGGAAUUGCAGUGGAUACUGGAUCACUAGAGGGUGGUAGAGGGAUGCGGAAUUUCUGGUGUAGCAGUGAAAUGCGUAGAGAUCAGAAGGAACAUCCGUGGCGAAGGCGGCAUCCUGGGCCAACACUGACACUGAGGCACGAAAGCGUGGGGAGCAAACAGGAUUAGAAACCCCGGUAGUCC
RNAcentral lists this ribosomal RNA (450 nucleotides) under uncultured bacterium. Its description in RNAcentral is "partial 16S ribosomal RNA". It matches the Rfam family "Bacterial small subunit ribosomal RNA", at positions 354 to 796 of the family's 1533-position model. The record is from RNAcentral.